This 253-nucleotide ribosomal RNA is filed under the name uncultured bacterium. RNAcentral's name for it is "partial 16S ribosomal RNA". It matches the Rfam family "Bacterial small subunit ribosomal RNA", at positions 524 to 776 of the family's 1533-position model. The record is from RNAcentral.
UACGGGGGGGGCAAGCGUUGUUCGGAAUUACUGGGCGUAAAGGGCUCGUAGGUGGCCAACUAAGUCAGACGUGAAAUCCCUCGGCUUAACCGGGGAACUGCGUCUGAUACUGGAUGGCUUGAGUUUGGGAGAGGGAUGCGGAAUUCCAGGUGUAGCGGUGAAAUGCGUAGAUAUCUGGAGGAACACCGGUGGCGAAGGCGGCAUUCUGGACCGAUAUUGACGCUGAGGAGCGAAAGCCAGGGGAGCAAACGGG